RNAcentral lists this ribosomal RNA (433 nucleotides) under uncultured bacterium. Its description in RNAcentral is "partial 16S ribosomal RNA". It matches the Rfam family "Bacterial small subunit ribosomal RNA", at positions 29 to 507 of the family's 1533-position model. The record is from RNAcentral.
AACGAACGCUGGCGGCAUGCCUAACACAUGCAAGUCGAACGAGACCUUCGGGUCUAGUGGCGCACGGGUUCGUAACGCGUGGGAACCUGCCCUUAGGUUCGGAAUAACUCCCCGAAAGGGGUGCUAAUACCGGAUAAUGUCUUCGGACCAAAAAUUUGUAGCCUUUGGAUGGGCGCGCGUUUGAUUAGCUAGUUGGUAGGGUAAAAGCCAACUAAGGCGACGAUCCAUAGCUGGUCUGAGAGGAUGAUCAAAGACACUGGGACUGAGACACGGCCCAGACUCUUACGCAAGGGAGCAGAAGGGAAUAUUGGAAAAUAGGCGAGAACCUGAUACAGCAAUGCCAAGUGAGUGAUGAAGCCCUUAGGGUAAUAAAGCUCUUUGACCCGGGAUGAUAGUGAAAGUACCGGGCGAAUAAGCUCCGGCUAACUCCGUG